This 431-nucleotide ribosomal RNA is filed under the name uncultured Alphaproteobacteria bacterium. Its description in RNAcentral is "bacterial SSU rRNA". It matches the Rfam family "Bacterial small subunit ribosomal RNA", at positions 29 to 505 of the family's 1533-position model. Lineage: Bacteria; Pseudomonadati; Pseudomonadota; Alphaproteobacteria. The record is from RNAcentral.
AACGAACGCUGGCGGCAGGCCUAACACAUGCAAGUCGAACGAACCGUUUACGGUGAGUGGCGCACGGGUGCGUAACACGUGGGAACAUACCCUUUGGUACGGAAUAACGUUUGGAAACGAACGCUAAUACCGUAUAAUGACUUCGGUCCAAAGAUUUAUCGCCAAAGGAUUGGCCCGCGCUUGAUUAGCUAGUUGGUGAGGUAAUGGCUCACCAAGGCGAUGAUCAAUAGCUGGUCUGAGAGGAUGAUCAGCCACACUGGGACUGAGACACGGCCCAGACUCCUACGGGAGGCAGCAGUGAGGAAUAUUGGACAAUGGAGGAAACUCUGAUCCAGCCAUGCCGCGUGAGUGAAGAAGGCCUUAGGGUUGUAAAGCUCUUUCAAUAGUGAAGAUAAUGACGGUAGCUAUAGAAGAAGCCCCGGCUAAAUUCG